UGAUAGCUGAGCAUUUGGUUAUGACGGGUUU
RNAcentral lists this non-coding RNA (31 nucleotides) under Rattus norvegicus (Norway rat). The record is from RNAcentral. Lineage: Eukaryota; Metazoa; Chordata; Mammalia; Rodentia; Muridae.